UAGCCUUCCAGAGUGGGAGAGAACAGACCCAGGCUCCAGGGAAACUCACUGAGAAUGAAGAAGAACCAUGACUGGAGGACCAUAAACCCAUCAGUUCUGACGGCCUCUAAAGAUCUUAAACCAGCCCAAACAAGUCCUGGGAGGCAGAAGAUAGGCAAGACACAAGUUCCAGCCCUCAAGAGCUUAGACAUUAGUGGAGACAAGAAGAUAAACAUAAAUCCUGGUAUACUGAAAACUGAAGGGAGCUAAUCCUCACUCACGCUUUCUAAACAUUGAAAUAAAUGUUGAAA
Canis lupus familiaris (dog) is the source of this 290-nucleotide long non-coding RNA. RefSeq lists it as uncharacterized. The record is from RefSeq and is a predicted model, not a curated record. Lineage: Eukaryota; Metazoa; Chordata; Mammalia; Carnivora; Canidae. The transcript has 3 exons.